CCGCAUGCGCGAANCGUGACGGGGGAACCCCAAGUGCCGUUGGUCUUUUGACUGACGGCUUUUCGGAAGUCUAAGAAGCUCCCGGAAUAAGGGCUGGGCAAGACUGGUGCCAGCCGCCGCGGUAAUACCAGCAGCCCAAGUGGUGGUCGCGUUUAUUGGGCCUAAAGCGCUCGUAGCCGGGCUUGCAAGUCCCUUGUGAAAUCGGACGGCUCAACCGUUCGGCGUGCAAGGGAUACUGCUAGCCUUGGGAUCGGGAGAGGUCGGGGGUACUCUGGGGGUAGCGGUGAAAUGCUGUAAUCCCUGGGGGACCACCAGUGGCGAAGGCGCCCGACCAUAACGGAUCCGACGGUGAGGGGCGAAGGCUAGGGGAGCGAACGGGAUUAGAUACCCCGGUAGUCCUAGCUGUAAAGGAUGCGGGCUGGGUGUCAGGCGCCCUUCGAGAGCGCCUAGUGCCGUA
Molecule: ribosomal RNA, 457 nt
Filed under: uncultured archaeon
Lineage: Archaea
Description: bacterial SSU rRNA
Rfam family: Archaeal small subunit ribosomal RNA
Source: RNAcentral